AUUGAACGCUGGCGGAAUGCUUUACACAUGCAAGUCGAACGGUAGAGGGGGCAACCCCUCGAGAGUGGCGAACGGGUGAGUAAUAUAUCGGAACGUGCCCAGUCGUGGGGGAUAACGUAGCGAAAGUUACGCCAAUACCGCAUAAGAUCUAAGGAUGAAAGCGGGGGAUCGCAAGACCUCGCGCGAUUGGAGCGGCCGAUAUCAGAUGAGGUAGUUGGGGGGGUAAAGGCUCACCAAGCCAACGAUCUGUAGCUGGUCUGAGAGGACGACCAGCCACACUGGAACUGAGACACUGUCCAGACUCCUACGGGAGGCAGCAGUGGGGAAUUUUGGACAAUGGACGAAAGUCUGAUCCAGCCAUCCCGCGUGCAGGAUGAAGGCCCUCGGGUUGUAAACUGCUUUUGUACGGAACGAAAAGGUCUCUCUUAAUACGGGGGGCUCAUGACGGUACCGUAAGAAUAAGCACCGGCUAACUACGUGCCAGCAGCCGCCGUAA
Molecule: ribosomal RNA, 496 nt
Filed under: uncultured bacterium
Lineage: Bacteria
Description: partial 16S ribosomal RNA
Rfam family: Bacterial small subunit ribosomal RNA
Source: RNAcentral